Non-coding RNA from Cucurbitaria berberidis CBS 394.84, 88 nucleotides. NCBI's taxonomy places the organism in Eukaryota, Fungi, Ascomycota, Dothideomycetes, Pleosporales, Cucurbitariaceae. The record is from the annotation of a RefSeq genome assembly.
GGCAAGAUGGCCGAGCGGUUAAGGCGCUAGCUUCAGGUGCUAGUAGAGUAAUCUGCGUGGGUUCGAGUAAGUUAUGCAUCACUUGUUU